UGCCAGCAGCCGCGGUAAUACGUAUGUCUCGAGCGUUACCCGGAAUCACUGGGUGUAAAGGGUUCGUAGGCGGUUUAAUAAGUUGGAUAUGAAAGACCGGAGCUCAACUUCGUGUUUGUGUUCAAAACUGUUAAACUAGAAUCAGGGAGAGGUAAGUAGAAUUCUAAGUGUAGGGGUGCAAUCCGUAGAUACUUAGAGGAAUACCAAAAGCGAAGGCAACUUACUGGAACUGUAUUGACGCUGAGGAACGAAAGCGUGGGUAGCGAAAAGGAUUAGAUA
Molecule: ribosomal RNA, 279 nt
Filed under: uncultured bacterium
Lineage: Bacteria
Description: partial 16S ribosomal RNA
Rfam family: Bacterial small subunit ribosomal RNA
Source: RNAcentral